UACGUAGGGUGCAAGCGUUAAUCGGAAUUACUGGGCGUAAAGCGUGCGCAGGCGGUUGUGUAAGACAGGUGUGAAAUCCCCGGGCUUAACCUGGGAAUUGCAUUUGUGACUGCACGGCUAGAGUGUGUCAGAGGGGGGUAGAAUUCCACGUGUAGCAGUGAAAUGCGUAGAUAUGUGGAGGAAUACCGAUGGCGAAGGCAGCCCCCUGGGAUAACACUGACGCUCAUGCACGAAAGCGUGGGGAGCAAACAGG
This 253-nucleotide ribosomal RNA is filed under the name uncultured bacterium. RNAcentral describes it as "partial 16S ribosomal RNA". It matches the Rfam family "Bacterial small subunit ribosomal RNA", at positions 524 to 776 of the family's 1533-position model. The record is from RNAcentral.